Molecule: non-coding RNA, 711 nt
Organism: Cyanistes caeruleus (blue tit)
Lineage: Eukaryota; Metazoa; Chordata; Aves; Passeriformes; Paridae
Source: RefSeq, a predicted model, not a curated record
UGUAAUACCCAGCUGACAAUCCAUACAAAGCAUUUUAAGAGGUCUCCAUAGAUAUUUAGGAAGACAUUAGCAUCUGUCCCUGCACCGUAGAUAUCCCCAGUGAACACGCUGAUCUUGUAUGUGUGAACUGCAGAAAGAAAGAGAGAUGAUUUCUGGUCAGACAAAUAUUAAGAUCCUUGGUUUCCAAUACAAAGGCUGGCCAAUCCCUGGGCUGACAUUUGCUGACUUUCCUUUUCUCUGUCCAAUCAAUGCCUUUGAUCACACAGCUCACGGUUCAAAAUGCAAAGAAUCAUUAUGGUCAUUACUGGAUGGGAAGUCAAUAGAGGUGAAUCAUCUUGUUGUCAGAUGCAAGAGUCAGGAAUGGAAAUGGCAGCUGAAUUCCUUUUGCUCGGCUCAGGAUGAGGAAGUUCAUGACCUCUCCCAAGGACAUAAUGAGCUCUGGGUGAGAAAUGGAGAUCCUUUUCUCGAGGAAAAAGAGAAAUGCUCCAGGUGUGAGAGAGGCAAGAGAAGAGGAAGGGAAAGAGAAGUGAACAGUUAAACCAGCAUGGCACUGAACCACACAUGCAAAUGACUCCCAUAAGGCCUCCAAGAUGGUAAGAAGCAGGCAGCUUUCAGAGUGCUGGGCACCCCAGGAUAUGACUCCAUGAAGAGAGGAGCAUGAGCCACCAUGCAAGAUACAGAGGCCACAAGUCUGACCAGAAGAAUAAAAAA